Long non-coding RNA from Motacilla alba alba, 5156 nucleotides. RefSeq lists it as uncharacterized. The record is from RefSeq and is a predicted model, not a curated record. The transcript is spliced from 2 exons. NCBI's taxonomy places the organism in Eukaryota, Metazoa, Chordata, Aves, Passeriformes, Motacillidae.
CCGGGCACGGCUGGGAGCUGCGGGGCCGGGCCGCUGAACUGCCCCUGUCUUGUGCCUCAGGGUAUUUUUGUAAGUGAACUUAAUUGUGGUGAUUGAAUAAUUUUUUGUCCUUCAGCUAUGGUUACUGUGAAGUAAAGAAGGCGGUGUUCAUUCUCCUGCACCGUAGCACCGUCUCAACAAAGAGAAGUGACGGGAAACAUGGACAUCAAAGCUGCUCCUCCAGAAGCAGUGCUGUGGGCAGCAGCAUUGCUUUUCUGAACACGGGAACACUGCAGCUCCCACCAGGAGAGCCAUUCCAGGCUAACAGAACACUAAGGAAACAUUAAAUGCUGAAACUACUGCAAUGGAAGAAAGAACAGCCAGGUAAGGCACUGCUUUUCAUCACUGCCCCCUUGGAGAGAAAUCGUCCUGUAGCAGCUCUCCUUUCAAGGGUUUUACUCAGCUGAGCUGUCCCAUUGCCAUAACAGUUGUUUGCAUAAAAUCAGGUGAAGAUCUGAUCUACCCUCACAGUAUAGUGAAAAGCUAAUUUGGUUUAAUCUCUUCCCCUUACAUACUGAAGGCCAACACAAUACAGCAGGAGGGAGUGUCAGAGACAAGAUGCAUUUGUGAUUCAAAUUGCAAGCUAAUAUUUGAUGAAGCGGAGAAUGAUUAUUUGGAUUUUCUAUUUCAAACAAGACUGCAUGAAAUCACUAAGAGAGUUGAAGAAACCAAAUUUUUACUCAUCAUCACAAGAAAGCAGAUUUUGAUGCAUUACCUGUGGUGUUUGGUGUAGUGCCAGUCCUGUGGAGGCUUCUUUGGGUUGUUUUCUUGCUAAUCAUUUAUCAUUUCAAGUUCUGCCCUAAACACCUUUUUUAAGAUUUGCUUUUUAUAUUGAACCAAUGGUUGUGACCUUCAGAAUGUUGUACAGCAGUGGGGUUUUUCACUGGUCUGCUAAAGGAAACAUAUUUUCUCAUCUCUAGAUUUUAAGAACAGUUUUUGCAACAGACGAAAUUAAUUUUAAACCAGUUAUAAGUCUGAAAACGACACAGUCACAAAAAUUAUUCCUCUGUUUCAUUAUUUAUAGCUUGGAAGAUGUAACAACAAAACCUAUAAAUGCAAAGGACUGUUUGCUUAAACCUUGUUACAUGUGAUCUUUGAUUAUAAAUUACUGCUUUAUUUUCAGUAAGUAUUUUACAGUAACACUUUCCAUGAAGGCAAGAAGAGUGAAACCUUUAAAAUGCUGUGUACACAAGGGUGAAUUAAUAUAUAUUGCCAAAUAUUGAAGCACAUUUGUUUCAGACGGCUCCUCUGGCCAGUGCUCUGACCUGCAGAUGUUGAAAAGGAAGCCAGAUUCUUCUAGCUGUUAUAUUUAACUGCAAAGUGUCUGCUGUGGGAGUUGGCAAUUUUGACACAUGUGUUUAGUUACUUUUCUUACAUGAAAAGAAAAAUCUUCAGCUGAUGUGGCCCGGAAGUUGGUAAGAGUUGUGUUGUUUUACAAGUGAGGAUGUGGCUCAGCAUGGAAUAUUCUGCUUCUUCCCCCACCCCAAGGUGCAGGUCUUUGCAGUGAAUGGCACUGUAGGCCAUUGGCUGGUACUGGAGAAAUAAAGAGGAGGAGAAAAGGAUGUAAGUAGUCCAUUUUUGCAAGGAAUUCACUUAAUGGGAUAUUUUGCUGCAAUGAUUUGAUGUAUUUUUCCCAAACAUCCUAAAUACGGUACUUUUUUUCCAGGCUUUGGGGCAGAGUAAUUUCAAAUUACUGGCGAUCUUGAACAGCUAGGCCUUGUACAGAUCUAUUCAACAAUGUGAAUUUAGAUUUGUGGCAAUUUUCUUUCUGCAUCACUUUUCUCAAUCGGCAUCUGCAUCCUUGGCAAACAUUUUAACAAGUGUACUUAGAAGUUGAGCUUUAGUUUCAGGGGUUAUUUAUAAUAUCAUGUUUGAGUAAAAGGGUAAAUUUUGAUGAGCAGACAUUAUUGAUAUCUGAAUAAUGUCUUGUACUGUUUAGAUCAACUCAAAUCCUAAAACAUUUGUUACUUGUUAUAUUAUUCUGAUUUUGUUUCUCUGGUACUUAUUGCCACUAUCUCUGGAUAGCUAUACAUUAUUUUAAACCCUAAUGCUUCCCUGGUUCUCCCUUUCUUCCUCAGAUUAACACAGGAAUCCUUAAUGGGGUAUCUGAGUUGUUGUUGAGGCAGUGCUCAGAAUUUUGUGCUCUGCUUCCAGAGAAGAGUGCUGCACUUCAUGGGAACAGUGAGGAAGCAGCAGGUCUCUACUGCUCCUACGCACUGCCUUGGAGCCACUGCAGCAUCUUCCUUCCUCAAAGCAGCUCUGGGUCCAACCCUGCCAAGAUCUAGAGCUGGAAAAUAUAUUGCAAUCCCAAAGUAGUAGGAUUUGAUCUAAAAAAAAAACCCCACAAUCAGCAUAUUAGUCAUUACUUUUCUUCCUGUAUUAUUUCUAACUUUCUAGGUUGCAUAAGUACUUCAAAGGGCAAAAGGCAGAGGUAUCCAUGUUGGUCAUCAAAGUAUCUUAAACCUUGGAAAGUGCUUUUUAUUUGGUCUGACUUGCUUGAGAUACGUACAGUAGACAAGUAGCCAUUAGAAAAGUUAGAAUUUACGUUUUAAAAGUUACACAGGUGACACACUAUUUUUACUGAUUCUUAUUUUUAGAUGAUUUCAAAUUACCUUAGAAAUUGAUAGGUUGGUGCAGCCCUGUAUCUUGUAUAAAAACUACAAGACAAAGACAAAAGUUUACUAAUGAUUGCUAUUUAUUGUGUUAAGUCAAUAAAAAGUGCAUAGUACAAGCCCUUUAUCCCAAUCCAAGUACUCAGUAAAAGACUACUAGGAAACUGCAAAUGGCACAGAUGAUUUUUUGUUUGGCAUAAUUCAGAUAUUUUAAACCACCGAUUUAUAUUAAGUACAUGACAUCUUCACUCUUCCUUUUUCAAUCAUUAAUAUUACAAGGCUAAGUGAUCUGCAGACAGUGCAUGAAUACAUAUGAUUUCUCAUUUCAGAGUAUAGUAAUUGUGUUAAGCAGACUCUAAAAAUACUAUUGUUUUAACAAAGUUAAGGUAUAAUUGUAAAUUUCCUUCCAUAUUUUCCAAGUAGCUACAACUUGCACCUCUGACUAACCAAGCUUAAAACCAUCAUUACAGAACUGAUCAUACCCUGGAGCUUUGCAUACCACUAAUCUCUUCCCAAGAUUUACCAUAAACAUCUGUAACCAUGAUACAAUUAUUUAAUCACAAAUUACAUCACUGAAGGCCAGAUUUCUGCCACCCUUACUAAAGCUGCUACUAGUACAUUAUCUCAGAGUAGUUGCACAAACUUCAGUGCAACUACUUGAUGAGUAAGGCACUAUUUAACACAAAUAAGAGUGGCAAAAUACAGUCCUAUGGUUACUUACUUUUAUUUUAAUUAAGAGUGCUGAUCUGAAUUUUAUAUCUUGGAGACAGUAUCUGAAUUUAAAAGGCGUUUUGAUGUGGGAUAGUGGCCUGGCUCUUUAGUAAAACAUUUUACAAUAAAAUAUUUCCAAUGCUUUUUUUCUUUUACAUAGAAAAUUUAAAAUAGCAAUUUACAUGAGAAAAGCAUACAUGUAUAAAAUCACUGGGACAAUUAGAGGAAUUUUAAGCAAAGACAUUUAAUUUAAAGGUAAACCACAACAUUCCUCUGAACAAAAAGUUCAUUUGCCAAGACUCUUAGAGCUGGGUGCACGUGGUAAGUUUUAUAAAUACAUAAACAGACAUUUAAGUGAGACUGAUCCUCACAAGUGAGGAGUAUCUCCUGUAAAUCUCACCAACUCCCAGUAGCAUAAGGAGUAGUGCUCUGAAUAGAAGCCUGUUUCAGUUGGCUUUUUAAUCAAUUGGAAGCUUGUUUUAUGCCUCCAAUAGUGAAGAAUUCUGGCCAAAAAUCCUUGGAGAAAAAAGGUCAGUAUGGGAGAUUAUAUACAUUUCCUUGUGGGUUCAACAAAAUCAUGCUGUAUUACUUGUUCUGAACAGCAUCCCAAACAUAAAUGUACAUGGAAAGCAAAAAGUAAGCACUGGCAGAGUGCUUGUCCCAGUGACAUCUUUACACAGUGUUUGUGGCCUCUACAUUAUUAGACAUAAUGGGACAAAUUCUCUCAGCCUCUCUCCUGCAGUUUCAUUGCUUUACAUGGCACUGCACUGAUGUCACUGAGAGCACCUGGCCCAAUCUUCUUCUUUUUUCUUUUUUAAAAUAAGCUCCUAUGCUUGGGAGCACAGUAUUCCAUAGAAAUUCAAAGGUCAAUUACAUCAAAUUACAGAAGCCCUCCUUCAGGUCUGCACUGUACUUUUACAAGGAGGCUCAGCUCACCCUUUCCCCUGAAGAGCAAAACCCUGCAUCUGUCAACGAUGGGAUCUGUUGUGAGAUUUUUGUUAGAGCCCCUUAAUACAAACCUUUUUGAAAUUUAACAGUUAAUUCCUUCAGCUCCAUAACUAAAGUCCUCAUGAAAUAAAGGUUUGUAGAGUAAGGCUUAGAAUUCCCAUAUGUCUGUUCUACUGACCUUUAAGGAAAGAAGUUCCAUGUUGGUAACAUAAAAAUGUUCUUUACAUUAUUCUGAUCACUUUUUCAAAUUGAACAAGAAAAAUAUACAGUGUUGCUUUUCUGUACAUCUUUAAAAUGUUCUUAAAUUAAUGUACAUAAAAAAGUCAUUCCCAUUUGCCAUAAUGGGAGAUGUGCACAGGUGCGUGCACAGCCACACAUACACACACUUAAACAUACCACACAUACACACAUUUAUUAGAGGGAAGAGACAUGCCAUAUGUAGUCACCUGCCAGUUUGUUAUUCUACAAUUACAACUAGUAGAUAAGGAUGAAAUGUUAAGAAUUGCUGAUAACAUACAGGUGAAAAAACCUGAAUAAUCCAGUACAUGUUGUAUACCAAAAGUUGGUAACUGUGGUAACUUCUUGGUAGGAUUUCAUCCUGUCCAAUAUCUAUUACAUCAUGGCUAAAAUUUUGUUAAGGUACCAAUUAUGAAAAGAUUAUGCCAGGACAGAAAAUUCUACCAAGUUCUUCUUACUAAAUUUCUCUUUUGAUAAAGUCUGUAAGUAAACACACCUUGGUUUCGAGUAUGUUUUUUCACAACAUAUUGAAUAAGACAUACAAUUUAUUAAUGAAAAUGCCUGAUUUUUUUUUUUUGGUGGUAUAAUCUUUUGUGUAAAGUUCCCAAU